RNAcentral lists this transfer RNA (83 nucleotides) under Staphylococcus aureus. RNAcentral describes it as "tRNA-Leu". It matches the Rfam family "tRNA". Rfam says of the family: Transfer RNA (tRNA) molecules are approximately 80 nucleotides in length. Their secondary structure includes four short double-helical elements and three loops (D, anti-codon, and T loops). Lineage: Bacteria; Bacillati; Bacillota; Bacilli; Caryophanales; Staphylococcaceae. The record is from RNAcentral.
GCCGGUGUGGCGGAAUUGGCAGACGCGCGGACUCAAAAUCCCGUUCCACUUGUGGAGUGUCGGUUCGACCCCGACCACCGGUA